RNAcentral lists this unclassified non-coding RNA (339 nucleotides) under soil metagenome. RNAcentral's name for it is "partial contains 5.8S ribosomal RNA, internal transcribed spacer 2, and large subunit ribosomal RNA". The stretch from base 1 to 120 matches the Rfam family "5.8S ribosomal RNA", at positions 35 to 154 of the family's 154-position model. The record is from RNAcentral.
GAUGAAGAACGCAGCGAAAUGCGAUAACUAGUGUGAAUUGCAGAAUUCAGUGAAUCAUCGAGUCUUUGAACGCACAUUGCGCCCCCUGGUACUCCGGGGGGCAUGCCUGUCCGAGCGUCAUUGCUGCCCUCAAGCACGGCUUGUGUGUUGGGCUCCGUCCCCCCGGGGACGGGCCCGAAAGGCAGCGGCGGCACCGAGUCCGGUCCUCGAGCGUAUGGGGCUUUGUCACCCGCUCUGUAGGCCCGGCCGGCGCCAGCCGACAACCCAUCAUCCUUUUCAGGUUGACCUCGGAUCAGGUAGGGAUACCCGCUGAACUUAAGCAUAUCAAUAAGCGGAGGA